CCGACAUUUGUCAGGCAAAUUUUCACUUGAGACAGAUGUCAUCAACAUGUUCCAAAAUACACUAUAAUUUUUUGGAAAAGCUACAAAGAAUCUCAACGCUCAUAUAUUAAGAUUUCUGGACAUAUGUGCAACAAUUAAGUAUCCAGGGGUUUCAAGCGAAGCAAUUAGACUAAGACUCUUUCCAUACAUAUUGAAGGAUUCAACAAGGGAAUGGAUAGACACUUGUCCGCAACAAAGCAUCACAACAUGGAAUCAGUUAAUUCACAAAUUUCUUAGCAAAUAUUUUCCACCGAAAAGGAUUGCAAAGCUAAGGGACGAGAUCACUACUUUUCAGUAAAUUGACUCUGAAUGCUAUUCAGAGGCUUGAGAACGAUAUAAAGGUUUACUUCACCAAUGCCCACAACACGGAUUGCAGAAGUGGCUUCAAGUGCAAUAUUUUUACAUUGACUUGAACCCGAUUAGCAGGGUUAAUGUAGACUCUGCGUGCGAUGGUUCUAUUAUAAAAAGAACUGAGGACCAGGUCUACCAAAUCAUGGAGGAUUUGGCAUUCACCAGUACACUUUGGCCUACUGAAAGAACGAGUGGAAAGAAAGUCGCUGCGGUAUUUGAAGUUGAUUAUUUAACAACAUUUUCAGCACAGUUGGCAUCAUUGGCAUAGAAGGUAGAUCAGAUAAGUGUAGCCCAAACAGUGGGACUGAAAUGCAAACAUUGUGGAGGGAACCAUGAGAGUGUUGAUUGUAACGUAGGAUUCCCUUUUUCUCAGAUAGUAGAAGAUGUGAACUACACUCGAAAUUUUCAAAGGCAACAACAUAAUCCAAACCCUAACACAUAUUACCCAGGCUAGAGAAAUCACCCAGGUUUUUAGUGGAGCAACAAUCAGGGAGCUCAGAUUGCGUUACAGCAG
Molecule: long non-coding RNA, 904 nt
Filed under: Olea europaea subsp. europaea
Lineage: Eukaryota; Viridiplantae; Streptophyta; Magnoliopsida; Lamiales; Oleaceae
Source: RNAcentral